CCUUCGAGGACCAGUGUGCGAGUACUCGCUUUGUGUUGGUCUUCUCUGUGCAUCAGUAUCUCGGCUUUUGUGGUAUGUUGUCUCAGGCCCGUGGUCCUCUGUGUAUCUCUUGCCUUGCUGGCUGCGUGGGGCCCUGGCUUUUGUUGAGUGUGUAGAGGAGCCCCCUGAGUAGAGCCCCUGCCCCCGGUGGUGUUUUCUUUUUGCUCUUGUUUUGGCGGUCAAGAGGGACGAGAGCGUGUGAAUAGGCAG
RNAcentral lists this long non-coding RNA (249 nucleotides) under Volvox carteri. RNAcentral describes it as "long non-coding RNA (VCAR_LNC000366)". The record is from RNAcentral. Lineage: Eukaryota; Viridiplantae; Chlorophyta; Chlorophyceae; Chlamydomonadales; Volvocaceae.